AAUAGCGUAUAUUAAAGUUGUUGCAGUUAAAAAGCUCGUAGUUGGAUUUCUGGUGGGAGGGAUCGGUCCUGCAUUCUUUGUAGGAACUUGUAUCCUCUCCGGCCAUCCUUGGGUGGAUCUUGUCUGGCAUUAAGUUGUCAGUCAGGGGAUGCCCAUCGUUUACUGUGAAAAAAUUAGAGUGUUCAAAGCAGGCUUAUGCCAUUGAAUAUAUUAGCAUGGAAUAAUAAGAUAGGGCCCUGGUACUAUUUUGUUGGUUUGCGUACCGAGGUAAUGAUUAAUAGGGACAGUUGGGGGUAUUUGUAUUCAGUAUUCAGUGGUGAAAUACUUAGACCUACGGAAGACAAACUACUGCGAAAGCAUUUACCAAGGAUGUUUUCAUUAAUCAAGAACGAAAGUAUGGGGAUCGAAGAUGAUUAGA
This 418-nucleotide ribosomal RNA is filed under the name Chaetoceros cf. flexuosus. Its description in RNAcentral is "SSU rRNA". It matches the Rfam family "Eukaryotic small subunit ribosomal RNA", at positions 593 to 1012 of the family's 1831-position model. Lineage: Eukaryota; Bacillariophyta; Thalassiosirophyceae; Chaetocerotales; Chaetocerotaceae. The record is from RNAcentral.